Molecule: long non-coding RNA, 2323 nt
Filed under: Dendronephthya gigantea
Lineage: Eukaryota; Metazoa; Cnidaria; Anthozoa; Malacalcyonacea; Nephtheidae
Description: uncharacterized LOC114543222
Source: RNAcentral
ACCUUCUUUAGUACGAUUUUCUAAACGUUUGUUUCUUCUAACUGAACCUUCUCUCCACGCUCCUUGACCGCCAUUAGAACCCAGAGUCCAGCCAUAUGAACCAGACCAUUCAAAUGAACAGUCAUCAGAUAUUUUCACCAAGAACAUAUUUGUGUUCCCGUGUUCCAUCAUGAACUGCGACUUUCCCGUCUUCCUCAAGAGUGACUCCUGGGCUGUGCAAGUUGAAUUUCUCGUCAGGCACAAUCUCAGUUAAAAAUAUUUCAUCACUCAAGCCAAGAUACUCGACCAAACUGUAGAAAUCUUCGAGAUUGUCUUCAUGGACUUUUAACUUUGGCAGUAUUUGAGGAUUCUCUGGAGUCGCAAUUUUCAUCGCUUUUAAAUAAUCCAAAAUAUAAGCAAAAUAUUGUAGAUUAAAAUCAAAGAAUACAGCGUCAUCUUGAUCACGCUCGACACUAUCUUCCCAGCGACCGCUAAACAUUGUAGCGAACAAGGAACCUUCAACCUGACAGAAAGUUGAUUUUCUGGUUUUAAAUUUUUGUCCAUCAACAUCUAAAAUAAAAAUAUCGUCUUUGACUAGAUCGGCUGACAGUCGUUUAACUUCCGCGUUUCUUGACUUUCUAUUCGCUUUAAUAAUUUCGCCAAAUUUAUUAUAUGUAUGUUCCUGCUCAUUUUGACUCGUUCUCAACGCAAUAGAAAUGACUUUCAGAACAAAAUCGUUUGCUUGGAAAUAAACUUGUAAUUAUAGAAAUGGUUUGUUUGGAAACAAAUGUUUUAAUUUAAAAUGCACAAAAUUGUUACAUUUAGGGACUACCAACUAAAAUUGCACUGUUGUUACAAAACUAUUUCAUGCUAAUAUUUGUUAUAUAACGCUAUAUUCUGCGUCUUCGACAGUAAUAUUUAACUGGAUGAGCAAUUUCGGGCCAUCUAAAUCAUCACGAUUAAUCACUUUUUCACCUAAAGUUUUGUUAAAGGAUCUCACUGACGCGCCAACCAUAGAAUGGUCAGUUAUUUUUUUAAUUUGUUUAUUAAAUUGGUUUAAAACACAUAUUACUACUUUUGAGACGAUCGACUAACAUUUUAUAAAACUAAAACUAAAUAUUUAUGCAUAAUAUUUCAUUAAGACAAGCACAAGUUAAGUAUUUGGUCCAAUUUCAUAUUGCAGUCAGUGACCAUUAAAUUGAAAUUCCCCUUGUUCUAAGUUUUGACGAACGAAAAUUGUAAGGUUAUUUUGCCUAAUUCUAUACUUUCUUUGUAUUUAGUUCGCCAAUUUCAUCGCUUGUAUUUGGUACGAAUGCUUUGUUUACAAAACCAGCACAGUCGUUCGCGCCAAUGUUGAUUGUUGCCAUCUUAUCAAGCUACGGUUAUGACGACAAAAGCCACACGAUGAAACCAACUACUAGUCCAGGUUCAUUAUCGUCGUCUGCAGAUCUUAAAAGCGUGAUGUUCAACGUGAUGUGUUUCCUGCCAGCAAUCAUCGCCAUUUUACAAAUACUGGUGUGGAAUAGUUACACUCUCCGAGGCAGAAGAGACAAAACACCUGAGGACGAAAGGUUUGAUCUCCAAUAAGAGCAAGUAAGCUUCUAUUAAGGUAGCUCAAUAGGACAAACUAUAGGAAGGUAUAUAUUAUGGGAAGGUAUAUUUUUUCCUCUUAAAUGUUUGACAGUGUAGAAUUGUCCUUCAAUCUAGUUCAUUGCACAGAGCCCUGGGGCCGGUUGUUUAAAAGCCGGCUGCUCUUGGUUAAAGCAAAUCUUCGCAUCAUUUUUUUAAUCGCUUGUUUACAAAGUUGACGUAAAAAUCUUAAAGUAAAAAUCUUUUUCUGUAAAUAUUUUCUCGAUUUUCUCUUGAUAAUUGCAUAGAAUUUCUCGUGUUGUCUAAAGAGGCUUUUAAUUGGCAUGCAAUCUGUAAUGGUCUAUUAAACAUGCGCACUUUUAGACCCCACGUUAAAAACAUGUUGUUGACGACUAUUAACAAUUAAUUUUUCUGGUCGCUAAGAAACCAGUUGGCAAAACCCUUAGCUAAAAAUAAAAGAUGUUGAUUGCACAAUUCAGGCACUGACUUCCUUUAACUAUCAUCAUAAUUUAACAGUAAAUUUUUUAUGCAUUUUUCUCUAAACCGAGUAAGUUUCUACAGAAGUCGAACUUCUGUGGAAAUAAGGGUUUGAUGUUAAACUGAUAUUAUCAUACAGAAAUUAUACAAAAACAGUAUUUUUAAAUUUAACCCUAGUUUAGCGUGGAAGAAGGCUAUUUCGUCAAUAACUUUACAAAAUAACGAGAAAUCAAUCUUGUAUAUACAUGGUUUGGAGACUAAAUAAAAGUACAGUACA